RNAcentral lists this long non-coding RNA (502 nucleotides) under Elaeis guineensis (African oil palm). RNAcentral's name for it is "long non-coding RNA (EGUI_LNC006908)". The record is from RNAcentral. Lineage: Eukaryota; Viridiplantae; Streptophyta; Magnoliopsida; Arecales; Arecaceae.
GAGACGCACCGUUACCACCAUGGGAGCGGGAGUGGUUCGUGUUGACAUGUAGGGCGGCGGUUGUCCAGAUCUCCAGUGAACACUCGGCCUCGCCGCUGUCCUGGAGAGAAGAAGAUGGAUGGAAACGUUUUGGUUGCUCUGUCAGGUACUCGGGCAUCUGUUUGAUGAGUAAAACGGCAGAAUGUAAAGCCAUAUUGUCUGUGAGUGGCGGGCGAUGCGCAGCAUCUGUUCGAUGGAAUGUUCGAGAGAGAUAUAAAUUCACCGGAGUUCAGUCGUCUUGGCAUUUCUCGCUGGCAGAUGAGAUUGAGACGGGCGUCGAGCCGGUGGUGGUGAUGCCACGACGUACCCAGUAUUCACUAUGGCGGCAAAUCCACUCCCUUCUUGAUCCCAUUUGCCUUGAAUUUACUUGGUUCUUGUUCGGUACAAUACCUAGAUAAGGGGAAUUUUUGGAAUGUGAAACGUUUUCCACAUGCUGAUGCCUUUAUAUAAUGUUAAAAAAAAA